GAGUUGGCUUAGCUGGAAAGGAUCUGAGGUAUUUGGGAAAGAGAUCUCUGGUUCGAAUAAAUUUGAUAUCCAGAGAAAAGAAUUAAGCAACCGGUCUUCGUCUCCGGCUUUAGAAGAGUUAGUGCCCACUGGCCUGGAUCACCCUCCUGGUUUAACAAAAAAAAAAAUGUUUAUAUGCAAUCAAAGGAUAUCAGUGUUUAUGCAUUUUCGGUGGGUAGUAAAUAUGGUCUUUUAAAUGGGCUAACGUGAUUCACUAAUUAAGUAGCAAGGA
This 271-nucleotide long non-coding RNA is filed under the name Brassica napus (rape). Its description in RNAcentral is "long non-coding RNA (BNAP_LNC023631)". Lineage: Eukaryota; Viridiplantae; Streptophyta; Magnoliopsida; Brassicales; Brassicaceae. The record is from RNAcentral.